UAUAUAUAUAUAGUCCAUUGAUAAGUUUUAUUAAUCUUGUCAACAAGACAAGAAAUUUGUGUAUAAGGUUGACAAAAUUAUUCUAUAUGUCACGUACACGUGAUAAUGAGUAUAUAAUAUAUAUAUAUACAUACUUAUAUACAUACAUACAUACAUACAUACAUACAUGCAUACAUAUAUAAACAUAUACAUCUUAAAAGAUAAUGCUUUCCUUCUUUAAUUUCAUACAAAAAGGACGAAGGAAAUAAAGGAUGAUGUAAGAUGCGGGGGAAGAGGAGUGUUUGAUAAAAACACAAAUAACAGCGAUAUUUUUUACCAAAGUCAUACCGUUUUUUCCCGGCGGUAAAAACCGAGUACAAAAUAAAAUGUAGGAAUCUAAAACCUACGGCUCUUAUAAAAAAAGGAAAGAAAACUGUCUAUGAUAAGGAAGGUCAAAUUCACUCAAUGAAAAAUGAUCAAUUGUAAUAACAUAUUAUGAAAGAGGAUAUAUUAUUAAACGUUGUAAUGCUAUAAUAUAUUUUUAAAGGAUUUUA
Vespa mandarinia (Asian giant hornet) is the source of this 533-nucleotide long non-coding RNA. RefSeq lists it as uncharacterized. NCBI's taxonomy places the organism in Eukaryota, Metazoa, Arthropoda, Insecta, Hymenoptera, Vespidae. The record is from RefSeq and is a predicted model, not a curated record.